GUGGGGUGCAGUAGCACAUGCCUGUAGUCCCAGCUACUCAGGAGGCUGAGGUGGGAGGAUCGCUUGAGCCCAGGAGUUCUGGGCUGCAGUGCGCUAUGCUGAUCAGGUGUCUGCACGAAGGUCGGCAUCAAUAUGGUGAGCACCCAGGAGCAUGGGACCACCAGGUUGCCUAAAGAGGGGUGAACUGGCCUAGGUCGGAAAUGGAGAAGAUCAAAACUCCUGUGCUGAUCAGUAGUGGGAUUGCGCCUGUGAAUAGCCAUUGCACUCCAGCCUGGGCAACAUAGCGAGAACCAACUCA
This 298-nucleotide signal recognition particle RNA is filed under the name Cebus imitator (Panamanian white-faced capuchin). RNAcentral describes it as "Metazoan signal recognition particle RNA (ENSCCAG00000007692.1)". It matches the Rfam family "Metazoan signal recognition particle RNA". From Rfam's summary of the family: The signal recognition particle (SRP) is a universally conserved ribonucleoprotein. It is involved in the co-translational targeting of proteins to membranes. The eukaryotic SRP consists of a 300-nucleotide 7S RNA and six proteins: SRPs 72, 68, 54, 19, 14, and 9. The record is from RNAcentral. Lineage: Eukaryota; Metazoa; Chordata; Mammalia; Primates; Cebidae.